This 253-nucleotide ribosomal RNA is filed under the name uncultured bacterium. RNAcentral describes it as "partial 16S ribosomal RNA". It matches the Rfam family "Bacterial small subunit ribosomal RNA", at positions 524 to 776 of the family's 1533-position model. The record is from RNAcentral.
UACGGGGGGGGCAAGCGUUGUUCGGAAUUACUGGGCGUAAAGGGCUCGUAGGUGGCCAACUAAGUCAGACGUGAAAUCCCUCGGCUUAACCGGGGAACUGCGUCUGAUACUGGAUGGCUUGAGUUCGGGAGAGGGAUGCGGAAUUCCAGGUGUAGCGGUGAAAUGCGUAGAUAUCUGGAGGAACACCGGUGGCGAAGGCGGCGUCCUGGACCAAUACUGACACUGAAACGCGAAAGCCAGGGGAGCAAACGGG